AUAUUCUACAUAGGAUUUAGAUUUAAUGAUAAAUAAUAGUGGUAGAUUUAAUAUUUAUAUAUUUAUUUAUAAAAUUAGAGUUAAUAAAGUAAAAGACAUAUUAAAGAAUAUGAAAAUAGUUAAGAGUGUGUGAUUUGAUGGCAAUAAAAAAAUUUAGAGGACAAGCGAGUAGCUUGGUUAACUAAUUUAUUUAAUAAAAUUAUGAG
Molecule: long non-coding RNA, 206 nt
Filed under: Musa acuminata (dwarf banana)
Lineage: Eukaryota; Viridiplantae; Streptophyta; Magnoliopsida; Zingiberales; Musaceae
Description: long non-coding RNA (MACU_LNC006290)
Source: RNAcentral